GGAGGGGGCGAGCGUUAUUCGGAUUUACUGGGCGUAAAGCGCACGUAGGCGGCUAGGUAUGUCAAAGGUGAAAGCCCUCGACUCAACCGAGGAACUGCCUUUGAAACUGCUUGGCUUGAGUCCGGGAGAGGGGAGCGGAAUUCCCAGUGUAGCGGUGAAAUGCGUAGAUACUGGGAGGAACACCGGUGGCGAAGGCGGCUCCCUGGACCGGCACUGACGCUGAGGUGCGAAAGCGUGAGUAGCAAACAGGAUUAGAUACCCUGGUGGUCCACGCCGUAAACGAUGGGCACUAGGUGCAGCGGGUGUCGACCCCCCUGCUGUGCCGAAGCUAACGCACUAAGUGCCCCGCCUGGGGAUACGGUCGCAAGGCUG
RNAcentral lists this ribosomal RNA (372 nucleotides) under uncultured organism. Its description in RNAcentral is "partial 16S ribosomal RNA". It matches the Rfam family "Bacterial small subunit ribosomal RNA", at positions 527 to 896 of the family's 1533-position model. The record is from RNAcentral.